Long non-coding RNA from Brassica napus (rape), 732 nucleotides. RefSeq lists it as uncharacterized. The transcript has 2 exons. Lineage: Eukaryota; Viridiplantae; Streptophyta; Magnoliopsida; Brassicales; Brassicaceae. The record is from RefSeq and is a predicted model, not a curated record.
AGACUCAUAUCUUUCACAGGCAGGGCCGGUCCAAAAGGGAGGGCGAGCAGUGCAAUGGUCCAGGGCUCAUCCCAAAAUCAUACAAAUUUAACUAUAGAAAAGGGCCCAAUUUUUUUGUUUGUUUUCUAUCACAGGGAGUAAGAGAUCAGCCUUAUGUUUUGAUGUAAAAUACCUAUCUUCGAUCGAAAGAUCGAUUUGUUUUGUUCGCUUAGGCGAUUUUAUCUUCCGAGUUAGCGGAUUAAUCUUCGCUUUGGCGAUUUUUUGAUGUGUUUUUCUUCAACCGAAACAGAGGGAAACAUAGGUGAUCUGGGAGAUUGAAGCGUACAAAUGGAAUCAAUGUUGGGCUGCUCUGUAAAUUCAAGUUUUAGGUUCAUCGGAUGUUCUUGCUUACGGCGGCUCCAGUGAAAAAGCAGCACCGCCCUUUGCGUAUCACGUAAUCCCAUCUAUGCUCAGUAGAAGACACGUGGAGACAGAUGUAAUGUCAAGAGACAUCCUUAUCUUUAAUGUUGGGCUUGUUUUGGGUCAAUAUUGUAAUGAGGUUAAAUUUGAGUUCCAUUUGUAUUAACUUAGCCCUCGGGCUUUAUAAUAAUAACUAGAUUUUGACCCGCUCUUCAAAGGGCGGGUAUACUUUUUGUUUUAAUUUUUUUUUAGAAAUUUAAUUUUUAUAUUUGUGUAUUUUUUUGUAAUUAUAUUUAUGUAUAAAUCUUAAUCAAAAUCUAUUUUAUAAAAUAA